UGCCCGCGGUGAAGCCAGAGAGGGUUAGGAGACGCUAGCUAAGGCCGGGGAUGUAGGAGUGAGGACUGAUUGUCGCUUCCCAGUCAGGGGGUUUUCCUCGUAAGCUGCUGUGGAGGCAGCGUUGGAUCGGGUACUUCACCGGCCAGCGGGCCGGUCAGCGGGCCGGUCAGCGGUUGAGACCACACAAGAGUCUCUUCGUUACACUAUUCUAACGCUUAGAGAUACGGCUCGAAUGCAUAACUUAGUUUAGUCUCCCUAAUGUGGGCUACGUUGUGAGACGUUAGCAAAAGUUCACUUGAAUGCCGCCGUUUUGAACACAUUUGCGCCGCAUGUUAAGCAGAAUUAAUAGCAGUUUAGCUCGCCGUAUGUGGCAACAACAAUCCUUCAACAAUCGUUAAUGUUUUGUUAAAUGCACAUGCAGAGGCAGUGGUUUCAUUCGGGCAAAGAAAAAGCUGCCUGCGGUGAAAAAUGGAGCAACAAGGCUGACCGUGACAUCGGGAGAGCUGAGGCAGAUCAUCUUAAACAUGAUGCACCUGGACGGUCCGGUGGCGGAGACUUCAAGAAUUAAAUAAAAUUACAAUGAAAUGGAUAA
Molecule: long non-coding RNA, 592 nt
Organism: Sardina pilchardus (European sardine)
Lineage: Eukaryota; Metazoa; Chordata; Actinopteri; Clupeiformes; Clupeidae
Exons: 2
Source: RefSeq, a predicted model, not a curated record